CCUUGAGCAUGGACAGCCUGGAUCUGCUGGGUGAAGGGAGAAGUUAUGUCCAGGGUGGGACAGAGAGGAUGGCGAGAGAUUUCCUCACUACUCAGAACAGCGGGAAAUUCAAAACUUAGGGAUUAUUUCUGAAAUUUUCCAUUUAAAAUUGACCAAGUGUAACUGAAACCAGAGAAAGCAAGACUGACGAUAAGGGAGGGGCCUCCUGUACUCCAAGAGCACUGAAUCUGGAAAAACUCAACACAUCGAUGGAGUCAUAUAUUUAAUUUUUUCUUAAAAGCCACCUGUGGGGUAUUGUAGAAACGCUGCGCUGCCUAUCACAGCUUGUGAUGUGACACGUUCAUUCUGCAAGUUUAAACUUCGCCUAGCAAAUCUUUAUGAGCAUCUACUAUGCAUCAUGCUGUUCUCGUGAACAAAACAAGAUCCAUAUCCUAAGGGAGUGUGCCUUCCAGCAGAGAAAGACGGCAAUGUGUAAGGAGCGUCAGAAGAAGAUGUUGUCUUUUGUGUGUAGAAAGUGCAAAGAGCUCCUGGGAAGGUGCUGCUGGAUGCAGUUUGCAACCACCUCAACCUCGUGGAAGGUGACUAUUUUGGCCUCGAGUUUCCUGAUCACAAAAAGAUCACGGUGUGGCUGGAUCUCCUAAAACCCAUUGUGAAACAGAUUAGAAGGCCAAAGCAUGUUGUUGUUAAGUUUGUGGUGAAAUUCUUUCCGCCUGACCACACACAACUCCAAGAAGAACUCACAAGGUACCUGUUCGCGCUGCAGGUGAAGCAGGACUUGGCUCAAGGCAGGUUGACGUGUAAUGACACCAGCGCAGCUCUCUUGAUUUCACACAUUGUGCAAU
This 842-nucleotide small RNA is filed under the name Pan troglodytes (chimpanzee). RNAcentral's name for it is "processed transcript". Lineage: Eukaryota; Metazoa; Chordata; Mammalia; Primates; Hominidae. The record is from RNAcentral.